CCUACGGGGGGCUGCAGUGAGGAAUAUUGGUCAAUGGACGAGAGUCUGAACCAGCCAAGUAGCGUGAAGGAUGACUGCCCUAUGGGUUGUAAACUUCUUUUAUAUGGGAAUAAAGUGUUCCACGUGUGGGAUUUUGUAUGUACCAUAUGAAUAAGGAUCGGCUAACUCCGUGCCAGCAGCCGCGGUAAUACGGAGGAUCCGAGCGUUCUCCGGAUUUAUUGGGUUUAAAGGGUGCGUAGGUGGGUUGUUAAGUCAGGUGUGAAAGUUUGCGGCUCAACCGUAGAAUUGCAGUUGAAACUGGCAGCCUUGAGUGCAGGAGAGGUAGGCGGAAUGCGUGGUGUAGCGGUGAAAUGCAUAGAUAUCACGAAGAACUCCGAUUGCGAAGGCAGCUUACUGGACUGCAACUGACACUGAGGCACGAAAGUGUGGGUAUCGAACAGGAUUAGAUACCCCUGUAGUC
This 460-nucleotide ribosomal RNA is filed under the name uncultured bacterium. RNAcentral's name for it is "partial 16S ribosomal RNA". It matches the Rfam family "Bacterial small subunit ribosomal RNA", at positions 338 to 795 of the family's 1533-position model. The record is from RNAcentral.